Molecule: ribosomal RNA, 916 nt
Filed under: uncultured archaeon
Lineage: Archaea
Description: bacterial SSU rRNA
Rfam family: Archaeal small subunit ribosomal RNA
Source: RNAcentral
UUCCGGUUGAUCCUGCCAGAGGUUACUGCUAUCGGGGUCCGACUAAGCCAUGCGAGUCGAGAGGGUAAAGCCCUCGGCGUAAUGCUCAGUAACACGCGGAUAACCUGCCCUUGGGUCCGGGAUAACCCCGGGAAACUGGGACUAAUACCGGAUAGAUCAAAGACACUGGAAUGUUCUCUGGUCCAAAACUCCGGUGCCCAAGGAUGGGUCUGCGGCCUAUCAGGUUGUAGUGGGUAUAACGUACCUACUAGCCGACGACGGGUAAGGGUUGUGAGAGCAAGAUCCCUGAGAUGGAUUCUGAGACAUGAAUCCAGGCCCUACGGGGUGCAGCAGGCGCGAAACCUUUACACUGCGGGAAACCGCGAUAAGGGGACCCCGAGUGCCAGCACCUAGUGCUGGCUGUCCAGCUGUCCAAAUAACAGUUGUUAGCAAGGGCCGGGCAAGACCGGUGCCAGCCGCCGCGGUAACACCGGCGGCCCGAGUGGUAGCCGCUAUUAUUGGGUUUAAAGGGCCCGUAGCCGGCCUAUUAAGUCUCUUGGGAAAUCUGGCGGCUUAAUCGUCAGGCGUCCAAGAGAUACUGGUAGGCUUGGGACCGGGAGAGGUGGGAGGUACUCCAGGGGUAGGGGUGAAAUCUCGUAAUCCUUGGGGGACCACCGAUGGCGAAGGCAUCCCACCAGAACGGGUCCGACGGUGAGGGACGAAAGCUGGGGGCACGAACCGGAUUAGAUACCCGGGUAGUCCCAGCUGUAAACGAUACUCGCUAGGUGUCAGGUGCGGUGCGACCGCAUCUGGUGCCGCAGUGAAAACUUGAAGCGAGUCACCUGGGAAGUACGGUCGCAAGGCUGAAACUUAAAGGAAUUGGCGGGGGAGCACUACAACGGGUGGAGCCUGCGGUUCAAUUGGAUUCAACGCCGGG